Molecule: ribosomal RNA, 330 nt
Filed under: uncultured bacterium
Lineage: Bacteria
Description: bacterial SSU rRNA
Rfam family: Bacterial small subunit ribosomal RNA
Source: RNAcentral
CGUGUAGGCGGGUCUUUAAGUCAGGGGUGAAAUGCCAAGGCUCAACCUUGGAACUGCCUUUGAUACUGGGGACCUUGAGUCCGGGAGAGGUGAGUGGAACUGCGAGUGUAGAGGUGAAAUUCGUAGAUAUUCGCAAGAACACCAGUGGCGAAGGCGGCUCACUGGCCCGGAACUGACGCUGAGACGCGAAAGCGUGGGGAGCAAACAGGAUUAGAUACCCUGGUAGUCCACGCUGUAAACGAUGGAUGCUAGCCGUUGGGGAGCUUGCUCUUCAGUGGCGCAGCCAACGCUUUAAGCAUCCCGCCUGGGGAGUACGGUCGCAAGAUUAAA